Molecule: RNA transcript, 622 nt
Organism: Octopus bimaculoides (California two-spot octopus)
Lineage: Eukaryota; Metazoa; Mollusca; Cephalopoda; Octopoda; Octopodidae
Source: RefSeq, a predicted model, not a curated record
GUUCACUGUUAUUUCUAGUAAGUUGCUUGAGUCUAAAUAGAACCUUGUUUCACUUUGGCACACUACAAACUAUUUUUAAUCAUUUUAGAAUUAUACAUUGGAUAAUUUCGUGAUAUGUAAUCUGACGGAAAGACAUGAAGUAAUUUCAUUUAUGAUGUCAUUGGAAGAUACAUACGCACAGAGUCAUACACGUGUAAAGAAUUUGAGCCAACCGGGAAGGUGCAAUGAAGUAGGCAAAUCCACAUCAGACCGAUGUCGCUUAGUUUCAUAUGAGACCAGAACUAUAUGAGCAGAACUAAGAUGAAACAUAGUUCCAAAGGUGACCGUUCCUGUUCAUACUUCUGACAGUGCCAACUAUUUUCAACGAAUAUUGCAUUUUGCAAGAUGUUGCGCUGGACUAUGACAGAUAUUUUGUUGGCAUCACUAGAAGAUCGGAAGACGAUUUAGUUCAAGCAACAACACUGGCCGGAUUAGAUUUCAGAGGCAGGAUUAGGAUUUCAGUAUUUUGUUAUCCCUCUUUAACUUUUGAUUCGAAAUAUCGCCAGGUUGGACUUCACCAUGCCUUUCUAUAUAUGUAUGCUUAGCAUUUACCCAAGAUUUUGAAUAAAAUCUUCCCUCAGAA